UACGGAAGGCAGCAGUGGGGAAUAUUGCACAAUGGGCGAAAGCCUGAUGCAGCUAUGCCGCGUGUAUGAAGAAGGCCUUAGGGUUGUAAAGUACUUUCAUCGGGGAGGAAAAAACAAAACUAAUAAUUUUAUUUCUUGACGUUACCCGAAAAAGAAGCACCGGCUAACUCCGUGCCAGCAGCCGCGGUAAUACGGAGGGUGCUAGCGUUAAUCAGAAUUACUGGGCGUAAAGAGCACGUAGGUGGUUUUUUUAAGUCAGAUGUGAAAUCCCUGGGCUUAACCUGGAACUGCAUUUUGAAACUGAAAUACUAGAGUAUCGUAGAGGGAGGUAGAAUUCUAGGUGUAGCGGUGAAAUGCGUAGAUAUCUGGAGGAAUACCUGUGGCGAAAGCGGCCUCCUAAACGAAUACUGACACUGAGGUGCGAAAGCUGGGGAGCAAACAGGGAUUAGAUACCCGU
Molecule: ribosomal RNA, 457 nt
Filed under: uncultured bacterium
Lineage: Bacteria
Description: bacterial SSU rRNA
Rfam family: Bacterial small subunit ribosomal RNA
Source: RNAcentral